CAGCAGCCGCGGUAAUACGAAGGGUGCAAGCGUUAAUCGGAAUUACUGGGCGUAAAGCGUGCGUAGGCGGUGAGUUAAGUCUGCUGUGAAAUCCCCGGGCUCAACCUGGGAAUGGCAGUGGAUACUGGCUCGCUAGAGUGUGUCAGAGGAUGGUGGAAUUCCCGGUGUAGCGGUGAAAUGCGUAGAGAUCGGAAGGAACAUCUGUGGCGAAGGCGACUAUCUGGGCCAACACUGACACUGAGGCACGAAAGCGUGGGGAGCAAACAGGAUUAGAUACCCCGGUAGUCCCUGUCUCUUAUAC
This 301-nucleotide ribosomal RNA is filed under the name uncultured bacterium. RNAcentral describes it as "partial 16S ribosomal RNA". It matches the Rfam family "Bacterial small subunit ribosomal RNA", at positions 509 to 807 of the family's 1533-position model. The record is from RNAcentral.